GCAUAACGCGCACGGAGCUGCAUGGCUCAGUGUGAAAAACUCGGUGGUAUAAGAUGGAUUCGCGUCUGAUUAGAUAGUUGGUGAGGUAACGGCUCACCAAGUCAACGAUCAGUAGCCGGCCUGAGAGGGUGAUCGGCCACAUUGGGACUGAGACACGGCCCAAACUCCUACGGGAGGCAGCAGUGGGGAAUAUUGCACAAUGGGGGAAACCCUGAUGCAGCAACGCCGCGUGAAGGAUGACGUAUUUCGGUAUGUAAACUUCUAUCAGCAAGGAAGAUGAUGACGGUACUUGACUAAGAAGCCCGGCUAACUACGUG
RNAcentral lists this ribosomal RNA (317 nucleotides) under uncultured bacterium. RNAcentral's name for it is "bacterial SSU rRNA". It matches the Rfam family "Bacterial small subunit ribosomal RNA", at positions 169 to 507 of the family's 1533-position model. The record is from RNAcentral.